Molecule: ribosomal RNA, 305 nt
Filed under: uncultured bacterium
Lineage: Bacteria
Description: bacterial SSU rRNA
Rfam family: Bacterial small subunit ribosomal RNA
Source: RNAcentral
CCUACGGGGGGCAGCAGUGGGGGAUAUUGCACAAUGGGGGAAACCCUGAUGCAGCGACGCCGCGUGGGUGAAGAAGCGCCUCGGCGCGUAAAGCCCUGUCAGCAGGGAAGAAAAUGACGGUACCUGAAGAAGAAGCCCCGGCUAACUACGUGCCAGCAGCCGCGGUAAUACGUAGGGGGCAAGCGUUAUCCGGAUUUACUGGGUGUAAAGGGAGCGUAGACGGCGGCGCAAGUCCGGAGUGAAAGCCCACGGCCCAACCGUGGGACUGCUCUGGAAACUGUGCGGCUUGAGUGCGGGAGGGGCAG